GGUGAACGCUGGCGGCGUGCCUAACACAUGCAAGUCGAGCGGGUACCCGCAAGGGUACCAGCGGCGCACGGGUGAGUAACACGUGGGUAGUCUACCCCUCGGAGGGGGAUAACCGGGGGAAACUCCGGCUAAUACCCCAUACGAUCCAACAACACAAGUUGUUGGAUGAAAGGAGCGUUUGCUCCGCCGAGGGAUGAGCCCGCGGCCCAUCAGGUAGUUGGUGGGGUAAUGGCCCACCAAGCCUACGACGGGUAGCCGGCCUGAGAGGGUGGUCGGCCACAAGGGCACUGAGACACGGGCCCUACUCCUACGGGAGGCAGCAGUGGGGAAUCUUGGACAAUGGGCGAAAGCCUGAUCCAGCGACGCCGCGUGGGGGAUGAAGCCCUUCGGGGUGUAAACCCCUGUUGCGAGGGAGGAAUAAGGCCUGGAGGAAAUGCCAGGCCGAUGACUGUACCUCGCGAGGAAGCCCCGGCUAACUACGUGCCAGCAGCCGCGGUAAUACGUAGGGGGCGAGCGUUACCCGGAUUCACUGGGCGUAAAGCGGGUGUAGGCGGCUCGGUAAGUCGGGUGUGAAAUCCCACAGCUCAACUGUGGAAUUGCGCCCGAAACUGCUGAGCUUGGGGCCGGUAGAGGGAGACGGAACUGCCGGUGUAGGGGUGAAAUCCGUAGAUAUCGGCAGGAACGCCGGUGGGGAAGCCGGUCUCCUGGGCCGCGCCCGACGCUGAGACCCGAAAGCUAGGGGAGCAAACC
This 750-nucleotide ribosomal RNA is filed under the name uncultured Thermotoga sp. RNAcentral's name for it is "bacterial SSU rRNA". It matches the Rfam family "Bacterial small subunit ribosomal RNA", at positions 28 to 774 of the family's 1533-position model. The record is from RNAcentral. Lineage: Bacteria; Thermotogati; Thermotogota; Thermotogae; Thermotogales; Thermotogaceae.